RNAcentral lists this ribosomal RNA (253 nucleotides) under uncultured bacterium. Its description in RNAcentral is "partial 16S ribosomal RNA". It matches the Rfam family "Bacterial small subunit ribosomal RNA", at positions 524 to 776 of the family's 1533-position model. The record is from RNAcentral.
UACAGAGGAGCCAAGCGUUGUCCGGAUUGACUGGGCGUAAAGCGCACGCAGGCGGCACCGCGCGUGGGGUGUGAAAUCUGGCCGCUUAACGGCCAGGCGCCAUCCCAUACGGCGGAGCUGGAGUGAUGCAGAGGUCGAUGGAAUUGCCGGUGUAGUGGUGAAAUGCGUAGAGAUCGGCAGGAACGCCCAGGGGUAAACCAGUCGACUGGGCAUCUACUGACGCUGAGGUGCGAGAGCGUGGGGAGCGAACCGG